RNAcentral lists this ribosomal RNA (1424 nucleotides) under uncultured Bordetella sp. RNAcentral's name for it is "partial 16S-23S ribosomal RNA intergenic spacer". It matches the Rfam family "Bacterial small subunit ribosomal RNA". Lineage: Bacteria; Pseudomonadati; Pseudomonadota; Betaproteobacteria; Burkholderiales; Alcaligenaceae. The record is from RNAcentral.
GAACGGCAGCACGGACUUCGGUCUGGUGGCGAGUAGCCCGAACGGGUGAGUAAUGUAUCGGAACGUGCCUAGUAGCGGGGGGAUAACUGCAUGGCGUAGCCUAAUACCGCAUGCGCCCCUUCGGGGAAAGCGGGGGGACCUUCGGGCCUCGCACUAAUGGAAACGGCCGAUAUCGGAUUGGCUAGUUGGUGGGGUAACGGCUCGCCAAGGCGACGAUCCGUAGCUGGUUUGAAGGACGACCAGCCACACUGGGACUGGAGACUGGCCCAAACUCCUACGGGAGGCAGCAGUGGGGAAUUUUGGACAAUGGGAAACCCUGAUCCAUGCAUCCCGCGUGUGCGAUGAAGGCCUUCCGGGUUGUAAAGCACUUUUAUGGGAAAGAAACGGCACGGGAUAAUACCCCGUGCAACUGACGUACCUGCUGCAGAAUAAGCACCGGCUAACUACGUGCAGCAGCCGCGGUAAUACGUAGGGUGCAAGCGUUAAUCGGAAUUACUGGGCGUAAAGCGUGCGCAGGCGGUUCGGAAAAGAAAGAUGUGAAAUCCCAGAGCUUAACUUUUUUGGAACUGCAUUUUUAACUACGAGCUAAGAGUGUGUCAGAGGGGUGGAAUUCACGUGUAGCAGUGAAAUGCGUAGAUAUGCGGAGGAACACCGAUGGCGAAGGCGGCUUCCUGGGAUAACACUGACGCUCCACUUUGCAGCGUGGGAGCAAACAGGAUUAGAUACCCUGGUAGUCGCCUAAACGAUGUCAACUAGCUGUUGGGGGCCUUCAGGCCUUGGUAGCGCAGCUAACGCGUGAAGUUGACCGCCUGGGGAGUACGGUCGCAGAUUAAAACUCGAGAAUUGACCAGGACCCGCACAGAAAUUGGAUGAUGGUCCAAUUCGAUGCAACGAAAACGCACCUACCCUUGAAGCAUGUCUGGAAUCCCGAAGAGAUUUGAAGUGCUCGCAAGAGAACCGGAACACAGGUGCUGCAUGGCUGUCGUCGGCUCGUGUGUGAGAUGUUGGGUUAAGUCCCGCAACGAAGCGCAGCCCUUGUCAUUAGUUGCUACGAAAGGGCACUCUAAUGAGACUGCCAGUGACAAACCGGAGGAAGGUGGGGAUGACGUCAAGUCCUCAUGGCCCUUAUGGGUAAGGGCUUCGCACGUCAUACAAUGGUCAGGACGGAAGAUUAGCCAACCCGCGAGGGGAGCCAAUCCAGAAACCCGAUCGUAGUCCGGAUCGCAGUCUGCAACUCGACUGCGUGAAGUCGGGAAAUCGCUGGUAAUCGCGGAUCAGCAUGUCGUGAAUACGUUACGGAGAUGUAUGCACCGCCCGUCACACCAUGGGAGUGGGUUUUACCAGAAGUAGUUAUAGCCUAACCGUAAGGAGGGCGAUUUACCACGGUAGGAUUCAUGACUGGGGUGAAGUCGUAACAAAAUGAA